This 429-nucleotide ribosomal RNA is filed under the name uncultured bacterium. Its description in RNAcentral is "bacterial SSU rRNA". It matches the Rfam family "Bacterial small subunit ribosomal RNA", at positions 355 to 776 of the family's 1533-position model. The record is from RNAcentral.
UAGGGAAUCUUCCACAAUGGACGAAAGUCUGAUGGAGCAACGCCGCGUGAGUGAAGAAGGGUUUCGGCUCGUAAAGCUCUGUUGGUAGUGAAGAAAGAUAGAGGUAGUAACUGGCCUUUAUUUGACGGUAAUUACUUAGAAAGUCACGGCUAACUACGUGCCAGCAGCCGCGGUAAUACGUAGGUGGCAAGCGUUGUCCGGAUUUAUUGGGCGUAAAGCGAGUGCAGGCGGUUCAAUAAGUCUGAUGUGAAAGGCGGGGGCUCAACCCCUGGACUGCAUUGGAAACUGUAAAUCUUGAGUGCCGGAGAGGUGAGUGGAACUCCAUGUGUAGCGGUGGAAUGCGUAGAUAUAUGGAAGAACACCAGUGGCGAAGGCGGCUCUCUAGUCUGCAACUGACGCUGAGGCUCGAAAGCAUGGGUAGCGAACAGG